Molecule: ribosomal RNA, 301 nt
Filed under: uncultured bacterium
Lineage: Bacteria
Description: partial 16S ribosomal RNA
Rfam family: Bacterial small subunit ribosomal RNA
Source: RNAcentral
CAGUAGCCGCGGGAAUACAGAGGGUGCGAGCGUUAAUCGGAUUUACUGGGCGUAAAGCGUGCGUAGGUGGUGGUUUAAGUCCGUUGUGAAAGCCCUGGGCUCAACCUGGGAAUUGCAGUGGAUACUGGGUCACUAGAGUGUGGUAGAGGAUAGUGGAAUUUCCGGUGUAGCAGUGAAAUGCGUAGAGAUCUGGAGGAAUACCGAUGGCGAAGGCAGCCAUCUGGCCUAAUACUGACGCUGAGGUACGAAAGCAUGGGGAGCAAACAGGAUUAGAUACCCGUGUAGUCCCUGUCUCUUAUAC